UGGGGAAUUUUGCACAAUGGGGGAAACCCUGAUGCAGCGACGCCGCGUGAUUUAGAAGGCCUUCGGGUUGUAAAAAUCUUUUUUAUGGGAUGAAAAUGACAGUACCAUAAGAAUAAGGUCCGGCUAAAUACGUGCCAGCAGCCGCGGUAAUACGGAAGGUCCAGGCGUUAUCCGGAUUUAUUGGGUUUAAAGGGAGCGUAGGCUGUUUGUUAUGCGUGUUGUGAAAUGUAGGAGCUCAACUUUUAGAUUGCAGCGCGAACUGGCAGACUUGAGUGCGCACAACGUAGGCGGAAUUCAUGGUGUAGCGGUGAAAUGCUUAGAUAUCAUGACGAACUCCGAUUGCGAAAGCAGCUUACGGGAGCGCAACUGACGCUAAAGCUCGAAGGUGCGGGUAUCGAACAGG
This 403-nucleotide ribosomal RNA is filed under the name Verrucomicrobiota bacterium. RNAcentral describes it as "Verrucomicrobia bacterium partial 16S ribosomal RNA". It matches the Rfam family "Bacterial small subunit ribosomal RNA", at positions 355 to 776 of the family's 1533-position model. Lineage: Bacteria; Pseudomonadati; Verrucomicrobiota. The record is from RNAcentral.